This 46-nucleotide non-coding RNA is filed under the name Echinostoma caproni. Lineage: Eukaryota; Metazoa; Platyhelminthes; Trematoda; Plagiorchiida; Echinostomatidae. The record is from RNAcentral.
CGACUGCUGACGAGUCCAAACACAGAACGAAACAGCUGUCUAGUUC